UACGUAGGGUGCGAGCGUUAAUCGGAAUUACUGGGCGUAAAGCGUGCGCAGGCGGUUAUUUAAGACAGGUGUGAAAUCCCCGGGCUUAACCUGGGAACUGCAUUUGUGACUGCAUCGCUGGAGUGCGGCAGAGGGGGAUGGAAUUCCGCGUGUAGCAGUGAAAUGCGUAGAUAUGCGGAGGAACACCGAUGGCGAAGGCAAUCCCCUGGGCCUGCACUGACGCUCAUGCACGAAAGCGUGGGGAGCAAACAGG
RNAcentral lists this ribosomal RNA (253 nucleotides) under uncultured bacterium. Its description in RNAcentral is "partial 16S ribosomal RNA". It matches the Rfam family "Bacterial small subunit ribosomal RNA", at positions 524 to 776 of the family's 1533-position model. The record is from RNAcentral.